Molecule: long non-coding RNA, 495 nt
Organism: Maniola jurtina (meadow brown)
Lineage: Eukaryota; Metazoa; Arthropoda; Insecta; Lepidoptera; Nymphalidae
Exons: 2
Source: RefSeq, a predicted model, not a curated record
UGGCUUGAUCGAGUGUUCUUAGCUAUAAUCCAAGAAAAUCGGUUCAGCCGUUUGAAAGUUAUCAGUUCUUUUCUAGUUUUCUUAUAGAGGUUUUUGUGUCAGGGGUUCUUUAAAUUUUGAGUUAUGACUUGAGUUGGUCUUCACGUUUCUUAUUUAUACUACUGUUAUAAAAUACAUGGAUGUAAAAACUUGCACAUUGUGAUUUACGAUCUCUAGUUAAUUAAACAAAUUAUACAUUCAAUAUUAAUUUAUUGAACUUAAAUACAAGAACGAGUUUUCAACCCAGUAGUUAAGUCAUUUAGCAGGCGAUGGGAGGUGCUAUGCUCUGAGAUUCUCUACGCGAUAAAAUCAGAAACAGGGAAAUCCAGGAAGGAAGGAGAGGAAGGUACGAGAACCAGGGUAACCUACAACUCAAAAAGUAGCAAAAUCGAAGUGGCAAUUAGCGUAGGACAUAGCUCGGACCACCGAAAGUCGUUUGGGUUUCAAGAUUAUUGG